GGACGCAUAGCUCAGUUGGUUAGAGUACCACGUUGACAUCGUGGGGGUCGCUGGUUCGAGUCCAGUUGUGUCCACUA
Molecule: transfer RNA, 77 nt
Filed under: Limnospira platensis PCC 7345
Lineage: Bacteria; Bacillati; Cyanobacteriota; Cyanophyceae; Oscillatoriales; Sirenicapillariaceae
Also listed under: 5 other names
Description: tRNA-Val
Rfam family: tRNA
About the family: Transfer RNA (tRNA) molecules are approximately 80 nucleotides in length. Their secondary structure includes four short double-helical elements and three loops (D, anti-codon, and T loops). Further hydrogen bonds mediate the characteristic L-shaped molecular structure. tRNAs have two regions of fundamental functional importance: the anti-codon, which is responsible for specific mRNA codon recognition, and the 3' end, to which the tRNAs corresponding amino acid is attached (by aminoacyl-tRNA synthetases). tRNAs cope with the degeneracy of the genetic code in two manners: having more than one tRNA (with a specific anti-codon) for a particular amino acid; and 'wobble' base-pairing, i.e. permitting non-standard base-pairing at the 3rd anti-codon position.
Source: RNAcentral